Molecule: ribosomal RNA, 673 nt
Filed under: uncultured marine eukaryote
Lineage: Eukaryota
Description: SSU rRNA
Rfam family: Eukaryotic small subunit ribosomal RNA
Source: RNAcentral
UGCAGUUAAAAAGCUCGUAGUUGGAUUUCUGCGGGGGCGGGGCGGCCGGUUGCUUAUAGCAACUCGAGCUAGCACUUCCCCUGCAUCCUGCCGCGAACCGUGCUACCAUUAGUUUGGUGGCGCCGGGGAUCGGCUCGUUUACUUUGAGAAAAAUAGAGUGUUCAAAGCAGGCCACACGCCUUGAAUAAGUUAGCAUGGAAUAAUGAUAAAGGACUUCGGUUCUAUUUUGUUGGUGUUCGGGACUGAAGUAAUGAUUGAUAGGGACAGUUGGGGCGGUCCGUAUUCCAAAGCGAGAGGUGAAAUUCUUAGACCUUCGGAAGACGAACAGCUGCGAAAGCGUUCCGCAAGGAUGUUCCCUUUGAUCAAGAACGAAAGUUGGGGGAUCGAAGACGAUCAGAUACCGUCGUAGUCUCAACUAUAAACUAUACCAGCUAGGGAUCGGCCAACGUUUAAUUAUUCGACUUGGUCGGCACCUUAUGAGAAAUCAAAGCAUCUGGGUUCCGGGGGGAGUAUGGUCGCAAGGCUGAAACUUAAAGGAAUUGACGGAAGGGCACCACCAGCCGUGGAGCCUGUGGCUUAAUUUGACUCAACACGGGAAAACUUACCAGGUCCAGACAUAGUAAGGAUUGACAGAUUGAUAGCUCUUUCUUGAUUCUGUGGGUGGUGGUGCAUG